This is a long non-coding RNA of Rosa chinensis, 356 nucleotides long. RefSeq lists it as uncharacterized. The transcript has 5 exons. NCBI's taxonomy places the organism in Eukaryota, Viridiplantae, Streptophyta, Magnoliopsida, Rosales, Rosaceae. The record is from RefSeq and is a predicted model, not a curated record.
UUUUCACAUAUACACCUUCCUUUACUUGAGUCUGCUGCUUCUGAUUCUGAAGAUCAUAACCUUCCAGUCAUUACCUCUAAUGAUUUCCAGACCAUAUUUCAGGACAACAAGCCCUGGCUAAUUCAGUUGUGCUCAUUUGAGAGCAAAAGCUGUGAUCAAUUUUCUCAUGCCUGGAAAAGAAUUGCUGGUUUCUUGGAUGGUGUGGCAAAUGCUGCUUAGGUAGAUCUUGAAGUGAUUCAGCUGGCAACAUAUCUUGCUGACAGAAAACCAACCGGCCAACCUUUCUUCAGGAAUGGCCUUCCUUCUUUUGUCCCUUUUCCCCAGGGAUGUAAAAGUGCCAAGUGCCUUAUUAGGUG